Meriones unguiculatus (Mongolian gerbil) is the source of this 3696-nucleotide long non-coding RNA. RefSeq lists it as uncharacterized. The transcript is spliced from 6 exons. The record is from RefSeq and is a predicted model, not a curated record. NCBI's taxonomy places the organism in Eukaryota, Metazoa, Chordata, Mammalia, Rodentia, Muridae.
UCUCUUUUCCCUGUGUUCUUUCUCUGGCAGCAGUUUCUGAAAGGAUGGAGACAGCAGUGUGUUUCUGCUCAGUUUAUCAAGUUACACUUAGUGACAAAGGACUGAAGGACAAUCAGGAUCCAGGGAGAAAAAAAGAAAGCGUGACAGGGAACCCAGAGCUUUUGUGGAAGGAAGGCUGAAUGGCAGCGAUGGUUUGUGGCAGAAGGAGGGUACAUAAGAGCAUCGGACUGCUUCUCACUGGGGACAGAGGACAGCCAGACUAGGAGAAAAGGACAGAAAGAGAAACAAGGCCUUCCCGCCUCUCCAGCCUGCUGGCUUUUGUUCCAAAGCUGCUGUCAGCCGAGCAGAGCCAUUUACACCGAGGCCCAAAGCUGCUCUGCUCCUCACUAGCCUGAGCAAAGACGACUGUCUGCCUGGUAUAUGGGUGAUUCGACAGGGUAGAGGAUGGACGAGGAGACAACGGCAGAAAUCAUGAUAACAAGAAUAACUUAACCCCAGCAUGCGCACAAGAUGAUUGCCUGUGUACCACGCAUGGUUUUGAGACCCUCUCACAGCAGCCUGGAGCUAGAGACACCGUCCACCCCGCUGAACAGAGAGGACCUGAGCAGGUAGAAUCUCUGAGUUCUCCAGGAACCCAAAAGUUAACCAAGGACCCUGAAUGCACAGGACUUUCAUGUGACCUCUCCAUCUGUAGUUCAGUUUGGAGUUUGGUCCUUGUUUCAACUUCACCAGCUCCUCACACUCCAGCUUCUUUCAACAACUCAGGCUGGGUGAAGCCUGAGAGGGAGACAAGGCACUGUUCUCAGCGCAGGUGUCAACUGUGGAAAAGGUGUGGCCUGGCUGCCCGAGGUAAGCUCCAGCGAGCCCUCUGCACAACCUGGACCCAGACAGACGGCCAGAGCAGGACCUCUUCCAUGGAAAUGUGGCCCACGUCCAGUCUCAUUUCCUGAGUGGGGCUCACUGCCUCUUCCUUCCACCCUCGGCCUGCUGCAGUUUACCAAACCCAUGGACUCAGUUCCAUGAAUGCUCUAGCAAUCCCCUGAAGCUGAGCAGUGCUGGCCCUGUUUGAUGGUCACUUCCAGGGAUGUGCGAGGCACCUCUGGGCCUUCAGGGAAACAAAGGCAAUGUGGCUGGCUUCCCUAUUAGCACCUGUUUCGCUGUGGAGCAUUGGAGGGCAUAGGGGCCAGGGCUCCCUCCCUGUGUCUGGGAGAUGGAUGGGACUGAUAUUUUUCCCUAGAAUUCCUCAUCAUCAAUCUAAUUUGGACCCUCAUCUGUCUAGGCCAGUCUCCACGGAGGUGUGUGGUCAUGACAAAUGGGCUGACUUACUAAUGUGACUGGGGUGGCAGGGAUUUGGGGAGGGCUUCUGUUCUGAUGGAUGGUCCCCACGAGAGCAUAUUGCAUUAGGAACCCUUAAUGCAAUCAGCAGGGCCAUUACCAUCCCAAUUCAUGGCUCCUCCUCACCAGGGUGGGGUCACAGAGCUGGAAGAUUAAGGAGGACGUCAGGACUUUGGAGACACCUGGGGAUGUGAGGAGGGAGUCAAGAUUUCCUUCCUGGGGGCCAUUACUAGGGAAAUACGGUAACAUGGAGCCAAAGAAAAGUGCAUACCCAAAAGGGAAGAGCAAAGAAUCAAGGCCCAGGCAGUUGGUAUAACCUGGCAAAGGUCACCUCUGGAGCCACAGAUAUCAAUUGAUUCAGUUUUGUUUUUUCAAGACCAUGUUCUGGCUGCCCUAGAACUAUGUAGACCAGGCUGGCCUCCAACUCAUGGAGAUCAGCCUGCCUUUGCCUCCCAAGUAUCUUAAACAGGGUUUUUGAGGUCAAUCAAUUCAUGUUACUCAUGUAUGACUAGCUGACCAUUUGUGAUUAUGGAAUGCCGUUUUAAAAUAUACACCUACCUUGGAAACAGAUACCUAGUCUACUGUUUGCCGCUGCACUGGGCAGCAAAUGGCAUUUUCUCUGGAUGUUUAACCCAAAAUGAGCUCAUGGGGCUCUAGGAUGUGCGCAUAACCAAAUUAGGUUUUCUUCUGCUCAAGGACUCUUCAGAGGUCCUGUCUGGCCCACAUUUCCUAGGUUCAAGGCUUCCCAUUCUGAGACCUGCAUGGCUUUGUUGUGUUCUCAUCUGCUUGGUGUGGUGGGUAUGACAUGAUGUAAGCCAGCACACAGCAGUUAGUACUGCUUUGAAAGCCUUUCUUCAUUCGCAUCCCUUUACUAUCUUUUCACUUUAAAUUUCCUUCUUUCACCUCUUGGUAAACUUCUACCUUUCCAAAUCCAGGGCUAAAAUCUCAGUUUUUCUGAAAUUUCCCAGAUUGCUCCUGGUAUUCUAGAACAUUCUACACUGACCAUCCUGACAUUUUUAUCUUCCUCAUUCAUGGGUAACUAUUGGGGAAGGGAAGGGAGGAAGUAAAGGAGGAACAAGGUAGGUUGAGAAGGUGGGAGCUGUGAAACUAGGCAUUUGAUUGUAUGUUCUUAUGUAGCAAUGGGCUCAAAAGACUGCAGGUAUGUAGGUAACACCCCUUUGGGGCUCUUCUGGUUCUUGGCUACUUCAGGGCCCACUCACCUCUAUUUAAGUAACUUUAUCCUAGCUAUUUCUCAGUGUGCUUUUCCUUCAGUCUCUAACCAAGCCUGUAGCUCAGUCAGCUUGAAAAUAGUUACUGUAAUGUAGAUGAACUCUGGCCGUAAAGCUUGUAUGCGUGUGUGUGUGUGUGUGUGUGUGUGUGUGUGUGUGUGUGUGUGUGUGUUGGGGGAGUGUACAUGUGUUUUGAUAUUCAUGUGUGAUGUGCAGGCCAGAGAACAAACUCGGCUGUCGUUUCUACUCAGCAACAACUUGAGUUCUUUUGAAGAUCCAUGCAUUUUUGAGACAGGAUCUCUCACUGGCCUGGAAAUUGCCAAGUGUGCUGUGGCUGGCUGGCAAGCAAGUCCCAGGGAAUCUGCCUUUGGAGCCUCAACACUGGAAUUACAAGCAUUUUGCUACUAUGAUGUUUCUCCUUUUUACAUGGGUCUGAGAUCAAAGGGAGGUUCUCAUGCCUGCUAGUCAAGCACUUUACCAGCCAAGCAUCAAUCCAGGCCUGGACUGACAGCUCACAAAGGACAGGAUAUGAGGGAGAGGGUGGCAGUUAGAACAAUUGUGGGGAACUACUGUUCCUGAGCUUUGGGAUUUUCUGCCUGUACAACAGGAACAGAUGACUGGACAGGGUGAUCACAGCAAUGUGGCCAUAUUCUGCUCCACCCCUCCUAGACAAGCAAUAAAGCCCUGACUCUCUGGCUUCAGCCUCCCAUAUAGUUGGGCUUACAGGCCUAUGACACCAGGCUAGCUCUUCAUCAAGCCAAGUAUCAUCUAGGCAUGUCCAAAUUAAUUCCUCUCCUUUGAAAUCAACAGCACUUUACCAUUAUCCCGCCUUCUGGCUCUUUAUUUGGUUAAUCAGAAACUUGCAUGCUUGUGAUGCUCAGGAUUGAGCCAGGGCCUCAGGCAUGGUAGAAAAGUGUUCUCCCUCUAACUCAUGCCCGGGUCCUCAUGCUGCUUCUGGAAUGUAACCUUUAUCCCUGUCUCCAUUGCCAUGGACCCUCAGGCUUCUUCACACUGUGGAAGAGUUUGUUUAGAGACAGCAUACACUUAAUUCUCUUGUCUUCUGUUUGCCUAGGUUACAUCAUCCCACUCCAUCCCACUCCUCCUUCCCCUCAUCUGAUGGCAUGAAGGAAGC